RNAcentral lists this ribosomal RNA (420 nucleotides) under bacterium. RNAcentral describes it as "partial 16S ribosomal RNA". It matches the Rfam family "Bacterial small subunit ribosomal RNA", at positions 355 to 776 of the family's 1533-position model. The record is from RNAcentral.
UGGGGGAUAUUGCACAAUGGGCGAAAGCCUGAUGCAGCGACGCCGCGUGGGGGAUGAAGGCUUUCGGGUUGUAAACCUCUUUCGCUAUCGAACAAGGCCCGCUUAGGGUGGGUUGAGGGUAGGUGGAGAAGAAGCGCCGGCUAACUACGUGCCAGCAGCCGCGGUAAUACGUAGGGCGCGAGCGUUGUCCGGAAUUAUUGGGCGUAAAGGGCUUGUAGGCGGCUUGUUGCGCCUGCUGUGAAAACGCGGGGCUUAACUUCGCGCGUGCAGUGGGUACGGGCAGGCUUGAGUGUGGUAGGGGUGACUGGAAUUCCAGGUGUAACGGUGGAAUGCGCAGAUAUCUGGAAGAACACCGAUGGCGAAGGCAGGUCACUGGGCCAUUACUGACGCUGAAGAGCGAAAGCAUGGGUAGCGAACAGG